This 464-nucleotide ribosomal RNA is filed under the name uncultured bacterium. Its description in RNAcentral is "bacterial SSU rRNA". It matches the Rfam family "Bacterial small subunit ribosomal RNA", at positions 331 to 792 of the family's 1533-position model. The record is from RNAcentral.
CCAGACUCCUACGGGAGGCAGCAGUGAGGAAUAUUGGUCAAUGGGCGGAAGCCUGAACCAGCCAAGUCGCGUGAGGGAAGAAGGCCCUGCGGGUCGCAGACCUCUUUGGACGGGGAGCAAGGCCGCCGACGUGUCGGCGGAAGGAGAGUACCCGUAGAACAAGCAUCGGCUAACUCCGUGCCAGCAGCCGCGGUAAUACGGAGGAUGCGAGCGUUAUCCGUAUUUAUUGGGUUUAAAGGGUGCGCAGGCGGCGAUUUAAGUCGGCGGUAAAAUUUCGGGCCUCAACCCCGACAAGCCGUUGAAACUGGCUUGCUAGAGUGGGCGAGAAGUAUGCGGAAUGCGCGGUGUAGCGGUGAAAUGCAUAGAUAUCGCGCAGAACUCCGAUUGCGAAGGCAGCAUGCCGGCCCCACACUGACGCUGAGGCACGAAAGCGUGGGUAUCGAACAGGAUUAGAUACCCCUGUA